GGGCCUAUAGUAUAGCGGUAGAACGGUUCCAUGGCAUGGAACAGGUCGGGGUUCGACUCCCCGUAGGUCCACCA
This 74-nucleotide transfer RNA is filed under the name Candidatus Zambryskibacteria bacterium RIFCSPHIGHO2_01_FULL_46_25. Its description in RNAcentral is "tRNA-Ala". It matches the Rfam family "tRNA". From Rfam's summary of the family: Transfer RNA (tRNA) molecules are approximately 80 nucleotides in length. Their secondary structure includes four short double-helical elements and three loops (D, anti-codon, and T loops). Further hydrogen bonds mediate the characteristic L-shaped molecular structure. tRNAs have two regions of fundamental functional importance: the anti-codon, which is responsible for specific mRNA codon recognition, and the 3' end, to which the tRNAs corresponding amino acid is attached (by aminoacyl-tRNA synthetases). tRNAs cope with the degeneracy of the genetic code in two manners: having more than one tRNA (with a specific anti-codon) for a particular amino acid; and 'wobble' base-pairing, i.e. permitting non-standard base-pairing at the 3rd anti-codon position. RNAcentral also lists the same sequence under 3 other names. The record is from RNAcentral. Lineage: Bacteria; Candidatus Zambryskiibacteriota.